UACGGAGGAUCCGAGCGUUAUCCGGAUUUAUUGGGUUUAAAGGGUGCGUAGGCGGUUUGAUAAGUUAGAGGUGAAAUGUCGGGGCUCAACCCCGAAACUGCCUCUAAUACUGUUGGACUAGAGAAUAGUUGCGGUAGGCGGAAUGUAUGGUGUAGCGGUGAAAUGCUUAGAGAUCAUACAGAACACCGAUUGCGAAGGCAGCUUACUAAGCCAUAACUGACACUGAAGCACGAAAGCGUGGGGAUCAAACAGG
RNAcentral lists this ribosomal RNA (253 nucleotides) under uncultured Rikenellaceae bacterium. RNAcentral describes it as "partial 16S ribosomal RNA". It matches the Rfam family "Bacterial small subunit ribosomal RNA", at positions 524 to 776 of the family's 1533-position model. Lineage: Bacteria; Pseudomonadati; Bacteroidota; Bacteroidia; Bacteroidales; Rikenellaceae. The record is from RNAcentral.